Molecule: long non-coding RNA, 747 nt
Organism: Panicum virgatum (switchgrass)
Lineage: Eukaryota; Viridiplantae; Streptophyta; Magnoliopsida; Poales; Poaceae
Exons: 2
Source: RefSeq, a predicted model, not a curated record
AACUAGGGCUCGCUCUCCCUCUCGUCCACUCGAGACUCGACGCCGCCACCGUUCCUGCAGUCUCCUUCGCGCCGCCGGACUCCGUCCGUCCACUCCGCGGCCUCUAGCGGCUAGAUCGAGCCGGGGCUGUGCUAUUCCUCGCCGGAGGCGGAAGAUUCGGCAGCACCGCGUCCUCCCUCGCCGGGAUCGAGCCGGCCGCCCGGGGUCCGGAGUCCCGCGCAUGACGACGCACGGGAUCCAAGGUCCCGGCGGCCGCCGUCUCUAGCGUGUAAGCUCGGCCGGUCUACUCCUCCAGGCCUCCCUCCCUCAGAUCUCCCGGCUGCCCUCCACCUGGCCGCCUGCCUCCGACCCGCCACCGGCCUGCACCAAGCUGGCAAGCACCCCGCCUACUGGACGGCCCAGCUGCGCUCCCGCUCAGGAAUGUAUUAUUUGGUGGAUUCAGGGUAUGCCCAAAAACGGGGGUAUUUGGGCCCCCAUCGCAUGACCAGGUACUGGAAGAAGGAGUUCAUGAAUACGGACCUGAGCAUUUGCGAGAGGUGUUCAACUACCAUCAUUCGAAACUGCGUAAUAUAGUUGAAAGGCCAUUUGAGGUAGCCAAAAAUAAGUGGCAAAUGUUGAAAGGAAUGCUGCAGUAUCGUAAGGACAAGCAAGGGCAGAUUAUUGUGGCAUGUAUUGCACUGCGUAACUUUGUAAGGGAUGAGAAUGCAGGGACAUUGAGAGUCGACAGGAUGCCGAUACCUACACUAA